This 57-nucleotide transfer RNA is filed under the name Chitinophagaceae bacterium. RNAcentral's name for it is "tRNA-OTHER". It matches the Rfam family "tRNA". From Rfam's summary of the family: Transfer RNA (tRNA) molecules are approximately 80 nucleotides in length. Their secondary structure includes four short double-helical elements and three loops (D, anti-codon, and T loops). Lineage: Bacteria; Pseudomonadati; Bacteroidota; Chitinophagia; Chitinophagales; Chitinophagaceae. The record is from RNAcentral.
GGGAAUAGCUCAGUGGUUAGAGCGAUGGUUUUUGCGUGGGUUCGAAUCCCACUCCCA